CGAUGUACACUAGGUGUUGGGGUACGAACCUCAGUGCCAAAGCAAACGCGCUAAGUGUACCGCCUGGGGAGUAUGCCCGCAAGGGUGAAACUCAAAGGAAUUGACGGGGGCCCGCACAAGCGGUGGAGCAUGUGGUUUAAUUCGAUGGUACGCGAGGAACCUUACCUGGGUUUGACAUCUAGAGGAAUACUGUAGAGAUACGGUAGUGUAGCAAUACACCGCUAGACAGGUGCUGCAUGGCUGUCGUCAG
Molecule: ribosomal RNA, 250 nt
Filed under: uncultured bacterium
Lineage: Bacteria
Description: partial 16S ribosomal RNA
Rfam family: Bacterial small subunit ribosomal RNA
Source: RNAcentral